This 337-nucleotide ribosomal RNA is filed under the name Chaetoceros curvisetus. RNAcentral describes it as "partial Bacterial large subunit ribosomal RNA". It matches the Rfam family "Bacterial large subunit ribosomal RNA", at positions 596 to 931 of the family's 2925-position model. The record is from RNAcentral. Lineage: Eukaryota; Bacillariophyta; Thalassiosirophyceae; Chaetocerotales; Chaetocerotaceae.
GUGGCGUGCCUUUUGAAGAAUGAGCCUGCGAGUUAGUGAUACGUGGCGAGGUUAACCCGUGUGGGGAAGCCGUAGCGAAAGCGAGUCUGAAUAGGGCGAUUGAGUCGCGUGUCCUAGACCCGAAGCGGAGUGAUCUACCCAUGGCCAGGUUGAAGCGACGGUAAGACGUCGUGGAGGACCGAACCCACUUCAGUUGAAAAUGGAGGGGAUGAGCUGUGGGUAGGGGUGAAAGGCCAAUCAAACUCCGUGAUAGCUGGUUCUCCCCGAAAUGCAUUUAGGUGCAGCGUCACGUGUUUCUUGCCGGAGGUAGAGCUACUGGAUGGCCGAUGGGCCCCAC